Molecule: ribosomal RNA, 302 nt
Filed under: uncultured bacterium
Lineage: Bacteria
Description: partial 16S ribosomal RNA
Rfam family: Bacterial small subunit ribosomal RNA
Source: RNAcentral
GCAGUAGCCACGGGAAUACAGAGGGUGCAAGCGUUAAUCGGAAUUACUGGGCGUAAAGCGCGCGUAGGUGGUUUGUUAAGUUGGAUGUGAAAUCCCUGAGCUUAACUUAGGAAUUGCAUUCGAUACUGGGAAGCUAGAGUAUGGGAGAGGAUGGUAGAAUUCCAGGUGUAGCGGUGAAAUGCGUAGAGAUCUGGAGGAAUACCGAUGGCGAAGGCAGCCAUCUGGCCUAAUACUGACGCUGAGGUACGAAAGCAUGGGGAGCAAACAGGAUUAGAGACCCCAGUAGUCCCUGUCUCUUAUAC